Salmo salar (Atlantic salmon) is the source of this 54-nucleotide non-coding RNA. Lineage: Eukaryota; Metazoa; Chordata; Actinopteri; Salmoniformes; Salmonidae. The record is from Rfam.
GCAGGACCAAUUUGUAAGUCGCUCUGGAUAAGAGCGUCUGCUAAAUGACGUAAA